GACGAACGCUGGCGGCGUGCUUAACACAUGCCAGUCGAACGGAAAGGCCCUGCUUGCCGGGUACUCGAGUGGCGAACGGGUGAGUAACACGUGGGUGAUCUGCCCUGCACUUCGGGAUAAGCCUGGGAAACUGGGUCUAAUACCGGAUAGGAGCCAUUUUUAGUGUGAUGGUUGGAAAGUUUUUUCGGUGUAGGAUGAGCUCGCGGCCUAUCAGCUUGUUGGUGGGGUAAUGGCCUACCAAGGCGGCGACGGGUAGCCGGCCUGAGAGGGUGGACGGCCACAUUGGGACUGAGAUACGGCCCAGACGCCUACGGGAGGCAGCAGUGGGGAAUAUUGCACAAUGGGCGCAAGCCUGAUGCAGCGACGCCGCGUGGGGGAUGACGGCCUUCGGGUUGUAAACUCCGUUCGCUAGGGACGAAGCUUUUUGUGACGGUACCUAGAUAAGAAGCACCGGCUAACUACGUG
This 465-nucleotide ribosomal RNA is filed under the name uncultured bacterium. Its description in RNAcentral is "partial 16S ribosomal RNA". It matches the Rfam family "Bacterial small subunit ribosomal RNA", at positions 28 to 507 of the family's 1533-position model. The record is from RNAcentral.